Molecule: ribosomal RNA, 173 nt
Filed under: uncultured Knoellia sp.
Lineage: Bacteria; Bacillati; Actinomycetota; Actinomycetes; Micrococcales; Intrasporangiaceae
Description: partial 16S ribosomal RNA
Rfam family: Bacterial small subunit ribosomal RNA
Source: RNAcentral
UACGGGGGGCAGCAGUGGGGAAUAUUGCACAAUGGGCGAAAGCCUGAUGCAGCGACGCCGCGUGAGGGAUGACGGCCUUCGGGUUGUAAACCUCUUUCAGCUAGGGAAGAAGCGCAAGUGACGGUACCUGCAGAAGAAGCACCGGCUAACUACGUGCCAGCAGCCGCGGUAAU